GGCUCAGGAGGUACAUGUAGCUGUUCGUGAUUGGCUUACUAAGAAUGUUUCAGCUGAAGUUGCUUCUAAAACACGCAUUAUAUAUGGAGGCUCCGUGAAUGGAAGCAACUCUUCUGACCUUGCAAAGAAAGAAGACAUUGAUGGUUUUCUAGUAGGAGGUGCUUCCUUAAAGGGUCCCGAGUUUGCAACCAUUGUUAAUUCUGUAACUGCCAAGAAGGUAGCUGCUUGAUCAUUUGCCAUGGAGAGAAUAAACAGCAUAGAGAAACACUAAACAAUAAACUACUGUUUCAGUUUUGUACCAUGUUUUCCAUCCAUCUCCCUCUAAUACAAGCAACACAAUGAGGUUUAUUAUUUUUGACUGCUUGUAUUGCUGGGUUUGUACUGUUUGCUAUACUAUAAAUUAUAUACCCAUAGUUGAGAUAUGUUUGAUUCGAGUUUACAAG
This 443-nucleotide unclassified non-coding RNA is filed under the name Hevea brasiliensis (rubber tree). Lineage: Eukaryota; Viridiplantae; Streptophyta; Magnoliopsida; Malpighiales; Euphorbiaceae. The record is from RNAcentral.